This 207-nucleotide ribosomal RNA is filed under the name Triticum aestivum (bread wheat). RNAcentral's name for it is "partial small subunit ribosomal RNA". The record is from RNAcentral. Lineage: Eukaryota; Viridiplantae; Streptophyta; Magnoliopsida; Poales; Poaceae.
GAAUUUGCUUGCGCAGACGACGACUAUUGCUGGGAAGAAUACAAUGAGAGCGCAUUAUGCUUUGGUUUCGUCUGCAAGGCAGAGUGCUGGCUGAACGCGAAACUGGAAUAUGCGGGCACAAAACCAAGUGUCAAGGGAUACAAGUGUACGGGAUCAAAACUGAAACACCGUUGUCACUGCUAUUAUUGUGUACCGUGGUCCAACUAG